RNAcentral lists this ribosomal RNA (245 nucleotides) under Staphylococcus aureus. Its description in RNAcentral is "partial 23S ribosomal RNA". It matches the Rfam family "Bacterial large subunit ribosomal RNA", at positions 1954 to 2198 of the family's 2925-position model. The record is from RNAcentral. Lineage: Bacteria; Bacillati; Bacillota; Bacilli; Caryophanales; Staphylococcaceae.
AGGUAGCGAAAUUCCUUAUCGGGUAAGUUACGACCCGCACGAAAGGCGUAACGCUUUGGGCACUUUCUCAACGAGAGACUCGGUGAAAGCAUAGUACCUGUGAAGAUGCAGGCUACCCGCGACACGACGGAAAGACCCCCUGGAGCUUUACUUUAGCCUUAUAUCGACAUUUGGCACAGCUUGACCAUGAUAGGUAGGAGCCUUUGUAACGUGAGCGCUAGCUUAAGUGGAGGCGCUGGUGGGAU